This 369-nucleotide ribosomal RNA is filed under the name uncultured bacterium. Its description in RNAcentral is "bacterial SSU rRNA". It matches the Rfam family "Bacterial small subunit ribosomal RNA", at positions 527 to 896 of the family's 1533-position model. The record is from RNAcentral.
GUAGGGUGCAAGCGUUAAUCGGAAUUACUGGGCGUAAAGCGUGCGCAGGCGGUUAUGUAAGACAGAUGUGAAAUCCCCGGGCUCAACCUGGGAACUGCAUUUGUGACUGCAUGGCUAGAGUACGGUAGAGGGGGAUGGAAUUCCGCGUGUAGCAGUGAAAUGCGUAGAUAUGCGGAGGAACACCGAUGGCGAAGGCAAUCCCCUGGACCUGUACUGACGCUCAUGCACGAAAGCGUGGGGAGCAAACAGGAUUAGAUACCCUGGUAGUCCACGCCCUAAACGAUGUCAACUGGUUGUUGGGAAUUAGUUUUCUCAGUAACGAAGCUAACGCGUGAAGUUGACCGCCUGGGGAGUACGGCCGCAAGGUUG